GGUUAAGCGACUAAGCGUACACGGUGGAUGCCCUGGCAGUCAGAGGCGAUGAAGGACGUGCUAAUCUGCGAUAAGCGUCGGUAAGGUGAUAUGAACCGUUAUAACCGGCGAUUUCCGAAUGGGGAAACCCAGUGUGAUUCGUCACACUAUCAUUAACUGAAUCCAUAGGUUAAUGAGGCGAACCGGGGGAACUGAAACAUCUAAGUACCCCGAGGAAAAGAAAUCAACCGAGAUUCCCCCAGUAGCGGCGAGCGAACGGGGAGCAGCCCAGAGCCUGAAUCAGUGUGUGUGUUAGUGGAAGCGUCUGGAAAGGCGCGCGAUACAGGGUGACAGCCCCGUACACAAAAAUGCACAUGCUGUGAGCUCGAUGAGUAGGGCGGGACACGUGGUAUCCUGUCUGAAUAUGGGGGGACCAUCCUCCAAGGCUAAAUACUCCUGACUGACCGAUAGUGAACCAGUACCGUGAGGGAAAGGCGAAAAGAACCCCGGCGAGGGGAGUGAAAAAGAACCUGAAACCGUGUACGUACAAGCAGUGGGAGCACGCUUCGGCGUGUGACUGCGUACCUUUUGUAUAAUGGGUCAGCGACUUAUAUUCUGUAGCAAGGUUAACCGAAUAGGGGAGCCGAAGGGAAACCGAGUCUUAACUGGGCGUUAAGUUGCAGGGUAUAGACCCGAAACCCGGUGAUCUAGCCAUGGGCAGGUUGAAGGUUGGGUAACACUAACUGGAGGACCGAACCGACUAAUGUUGAAAAAUUAGCGGAUGACUUGUGGCUGGGGGUGAAAGGCCAAUCAAACCGGGAGAUAGCUGGUUCUCCCCGAAAGCUAUUUAGGUAGCGCCUCGUGAAUUCAUCUCCGGGGGUAGAGCACUGUUUCGGCAAGGGGGUCAUCCCGACUUACCAACCCGAUGCAAACUGCGAAUACCGGAGAAUGUUAUCACGGGAGACACACGGCGGGUGCUAACGUCCGUCGUGAAGAGGGAAACAACCCAGACCGCCAGCUAAGGUCCCAAAGUCAUGGUUAAGUGGGAAACGAUGUGGGAAGGCCCAGACAGCCAGGAUGUUGGCUUAGAAGCAGCCAUCAUUUAAAGAAAGCGUAAUAGCUCACUGGUCGAGUCGGCCUGCGCGGAAGAUGUAACGGGGCUAAACCAUGCACCGAAGCUGCGGCAGCGACGCUUAUGCGUUGUUGGGUAGGGGAGCGUUCUGUAAGCCUGCGAAGGUGUGCUGUGAGGCAUGCUGGAGGUAUCAGAAGUGCGAAUGCUGACAUAAGUAACGAUAAAGCGGGUGAAAAGCCCGCUCGCCGGAAGACCAAGGGUUCCUGUCCAACGUUAAUCGGGGCAGGGUGAGUCGACCCCUAAGGCGAGGCCGAAAGGCGUAGUCGAUGGGAAACAGGUUAAUAUUCCUGUACUUGGUGUUACUGCGAAGGGGGGACGGAGAAGGCUAUGUUGGCCGGGCGACGGUUGUCCCGGUUUAAGCGUGUAGGCUGGUUUUCCAGGCAAAUCCGGAAAAUCAAGGCUGAGGCGUGAUGACGAGGCACUACGGUGCUGAAGCAACAAAUGCCCUGCUUCCAGGAAAAGCCUCUAAGCAUCAGGUAACAUCAAAUCGUACCCCAAACCGACACAGGUGGUCAGGUAGAGAAUACCAAGGCGCUUGAGAGAACUCGGGUGAAGGAACUAGGCAAAAUGGUGCCGUAACUUCGGGAGAAGGCACGCUGAUAUGUAGGUGAAGUCCCUCGCGGAUGGAGCUGAAAUCAGUCGAAGAUACCAGCUGGCUGCAACUGUUUAUUAAAAACACAGCACUGUGCAAACACGAAAGUGGACGUAUACGGUGUGACGCCUGCCCGGUGCCGGAAGGUUAAUUGAUGGGGUUAGCCGCAAGGCGAAGCUCUUGAUCGAAGCCCCGGUAAACGGCGGCCGUAACUAUAACGGUCCUAAGGUAGCGAAAUUCCUUGUCGGGUAAGUUCCGACCUGCACGAAUGGCGUAAUGAUGGCCAGGCUGUCUCCACCCGAGACUCAGUGAAAUUGAACUCGCUGUGAAGAUGCAGUGUACCCGCGGCAAGACGGAAAGACCCCGUGAACCUUUACUAUAGCUUGACACUGAACAUUGAGCCUUGAUGUGUAGGAUAGGUGGGAGGCUUUGAAGUGUGGACGCCAGUCUGCAUGGAGCCGACCUUGAAAUACCACCCUUUAAUGUUUGAUGUUCUAACGUGGACCCGUGAUCCGGGUUGCGGACAGUGUCUGGUGGGUAGUUUGACUGGGGCGGUCUCCUCCUAAAGAGUAACGGAGGAGCACGAAGGUUGGCUAAUCCUGGUCGGACAUCAGGAGGUUAGUGCAAUGGCAUAAGCCAGCUUGACUGCGAGCGUGACGGCGCGAGCAGGUGCGAAAGCAGGUCAUAGUGAUCCGGUGGUUCUGAAUGGAAGGGCCAUCGCUCAACGGAUAAAAGGUACUCCGGGGAUAACAGGCUGAUACCGCCCAAGAGUUCAUAUCGACGGCGGUGUUUGGCACCUCGAUGUCGGCUCAUCACAUCCUGGGGCUGAAGUAGGUCCCAAGGGUAUGGCUGUUCGCCAUUUAAAGUGGUACGCGAGCUGGGUUUAGAACGUCGUGAGACAGUUCGGUCCCUAUCUGCCGUGGGCGCUGGAGAACUGAGGGGGGCUGCUCCUAGUACGAGAGGACCGGAGUGGACGCAUCACUGGUGUUCGGGUUGUCAUGCCAAUGGCACUGCCCGGUAGCUAAAUGCGGAAGAGAUAAGUGCUGAAAGCAUCUAAGCACGAAACUUGCCCCGAGAUGAGUUCUCCCUGACCCUUUAAGGGUCCUGAAGGAACGUUGAAGACGACGACGUUGAUAGGCCGGGUGUGUAAGCGCAGCGAUGCGUUGAGCUAACCGGUACUAAUGAACCGUGAGGCUUAACCUU
This 2906-nucleotide ribosomal RNA is filed under the name Escherichia coli. Its description in RNAcentral is "23S ribosomal RNA". It matches the Rfam family "Bacterial large subunit ribosomal RNA". The record is from RNAcentral. Lineage: Bacteria; Pseudomonadati; Pseudomonadota; Gammaproteobacteria; Enterobacterales; Enterobacteriaceae.